This 253-nucleotide ribosomal RNA is filed under the name uncultured bacterium. RNAcentral's name for it is "partial 16S ribosomal RNA". It matches the Rfam family "Bacterial small subunit ribosomal RNA", at positions 524 to 776 of the family's 1533-position model. The record is from RNAcentral.
UACGAAGGGUGCAAGCGUUACUCGGAAUUACUGGGCGUAAAGCGUGCGUAGGUGGUUGUUUAAGUCUGUUGUGAAAGCCCUGGGCUCAACCUGGGAACUGCAGUGGAAACUGGACAACUAGAGUGUGGUAGAGGGUAGCGGAAUUCCCGGUGUAGCAGUGAAGUGCGUAGAGAUCGGGAGGAACAUCCAUGGCGAAGGCAGCUACCUGGACCAACACUGACACUGAGGCACGAAAGCGUGGGGAGCAAACAGG